AAAAAACUAAACAAGGCUGUUAAAGAAAUAUUGCUAAUACAAGACUUCUACCGUUAUGGGAAGCAACAACAUGGACGAGAACUUUUUUCUUGACAUUCCAGAUGCCGCGCUAGAAGCUUUAAAUUUUGGAUUGGUUGGUUCAGGAAAAUGAAUUCUAUGACGCUGUUGUAAAACCACCUCUGAUUGGGCCGAUCCAAAAGCGGUGAUAACAAGCUGGAGAGUGUCAGAAGCAGGAAAUCUCCCUCAUUCUACAGAAAGACGGGCAAAGGGUUAAACCAGAAAAGCUGCCUCGUUUUACAAAAAGACUGCAAAGGUAAACAUUUUUUAAUUUUACCCUGAGCUUUAUUGUAUUUUUCUUAGCCACUUUUUUAUAGAGUUUUUACCCUGUGCUUACAGAACAGGCUUUCUCUUUGUCAAUUUUCCUUUUAAACCUCGUUUUUUCUUAACCUACAUUGGUAUUGACUAGUUUUAAUACGUUUUAUUCACUUUUAUUACACUGCCUUAGUACAUUUUCUUUUAAACCUAGUUUUUAAUGUUUUUAAAAGCCUUUUUCUUAGGACCCCUUUACAGUUUUUGGCCAUGUGCUUACUUAACAGGUUUUGCUUCAGUCAAUUCCCCUUUUAAACCUAGCUGUAUUGUUUUUAAUAUUACUUAAUAAUAUUAAAAAGCUUUUUUAUAACCUAUGUUGGCAGUCAAAAGUUUCAAUCC
This is a long non-coding RNA of Gopherus flavomarginatus (Mexican gopher tortoise), 708 nucleotides long. RefSeq lists it as uncharacterized. The transcript has 4 exons. Lineage: Eukaryota; Metazoa; Chordata; Testudines; Testudinidae. The record is from RefSeq and is a predicted model, not a curated record.